Molecule: small nuclear RNA, 158 nt
Organism: Heterocephalus glaber (naked mole-rat)
Lineage: Eukaryota; Metazoa; Chordata; Mammalia; Rodentia; Bathyergidae
Gene: U2
Rfam family: U2 spliceosomal RNA
About the family: U2 is a small nuclear RNA (snRNA) component of the spliceosome (involved in pre-mRNA splicing). Complementary binding between U2 snRNA (in an area lying towards the 5' end but 3' to hairpin I) and the branchpoint sequence (BPS) of the intron results the bulging out of an unpaired adenosine, on the BPS, which initiates a nucleophilic attack at the intronic 5' splice site, thus starting the first of two transesterification reactions that mediate splicing.
Source: Ensembl
AUCGCUUCUCAGCCUUUUGGCUAAGAUCAAGUGUAGUGAGAGAAAGGCCUUGAUAUUUCUGAUCUAUUUUUAAAUAGUGUUGGAACUUAAGAUAAAGAAAGCAAUAAUAAAUUCCUUGGGAGGGAACUGCGGAAUCUGCCAAAAAUCUCCAAAUUAUC